Molecule: long non-coding RNA, 209 nt
Filed under: Elaeis guineensis (African oil palm)
Lineage: Eukaryota; Viridiplantae; Streptophyta; Magnoliopsida; Arecales; Arecaceae
Description: long non-coding RNA (EGUI_LNC037120)
Source: RNAcentral
AAUUUUGUACUUAUAAUUUUUUAUUAUUAAUAAAGAGUUUUUUCAUUCCAAUCAUGUUUAUGUGUCCAUGAUUUAUCUUAGAAAUUAACAAAUAUGAUUUUUAUAUAUUCUCAAUGUGUUAAGAAUUUGAGACAUACAUUAAUUAGUGGUUAAUUUCUAAAUAUUUUCGAUCAAAAGAUCAUCACAGAGGAUAGUGAUCAAUACAUUCG